This is a long non-coding RNA of Larimichthys crocea (large yellow croaker), 415 nucleotides long. RefSeq lists it as uncharacterized. The record is from RefSeq and is a predicted model, not a curated record. The transcript is spliced from 3 exons. NCBI's taxonomy places the organism in Eukaryota, Metazoa, Chordata, Actinopteri, Sciaenidae.
UUUUUGUUCUUGGAUUUUGAGCGCGCAUCAAAGGUUUGAGAAACUCUGGAGCUGAUAUGAUACACGGUUUCCAGGUCGGCGAAUAAAUGUAUUCCAAAACAGACCUGGAAGAAAUGAAGAACUGCACUACAACUUGUCAGACUGUAACGCUGAACUUACUGCAGCUCCAGGCAGGAGUGGAUAUUUUCUGGAAAGACUACUAUCUUUAGUAGAAAUAUUUGCAUACCGGCCUUCAUGGAUAGAAGAAGAACUCUUCCUGUUCGGUGUUAAGGGCUUGACAGACAGGAAAGGUGGUGAGGGAGAGGGUGUGACAUGCAACACAGGACUUCAGCUUUAGUACACUGGGUGAGCCACCAGGAUGCCCCUGUCCAUGUGGUGUUUUUAUAUUUCUUUUAUAAGACACAUAAUAAACAAA